Molecule: unclassified non-coding RNA, 300 nt
Filed under: uncultured Rickenella
Lineage: Eukaryota; Fungi; Basidiomycota; Agaricomycetes; Agaricales; Tricholomataceae
Description: sequence contains 5.8S rRNA gene, ITS2
Rfam family: 5.8S ribosomal RNA (bases 1-71)
Source: RNAcentral
GUGAAUCAUCGAAUCUUUGAACGCACCUUGCGCUCCUUGGUAUUCCGAGGAGCAUGCCCGUUUGAGUGUCAUGAAAUUCUCAACCUCUUCUUGCUUUGCGGCUUGAAGUAGGCUUGGAUUUGGGAGCUUGCUGGUUUAACAAUCGGCUCUCCUUGAAUGCAUUAGCUGGACUUUCCGAUUUAAUAGCGGUUCACGGUGUGAUAACUAUCUACGCCUGGUAAAUCCGUCUUUGAGUCUGGUCGAGCUUCUAAUCAGUUCGUCCUUCUGGACAAACACUUUUAAGAUCUGACCUCAAAUCAG